GUCCCUGUAGCACAAUGGAUGGCGCAUUGGAUUGCUAAUCCCACCUGGGCUCGAUUCCCACCUGGGACG
Molecule: non-coding RNA, 69 nt
Organism: Trichonephila clavata
Lineage: Eukaryota; Metazoa; Arthropoda; Arachnida; Araneae; Nephilidae
Source: the annotation of a GenBank genome assembly